CGCGUGGGGGAAGGGCUCUUGGGUUGUAAACUCCUUUUCUCAGGGAAGAACAAAAUGACGGUACCUGAGGAAUCAGCAUCGGCUAACUCCGUGCCAGCAGCCGCGGUAAUACGGAGGAUGCAAGCGUUAUCCGGAAUCAUUGGGCGUAAAGCGUCCGCAGGUGGCACAUCAAGUCUGCUGUCAAAGGUCGGGGCUCAACUCCGAACAGGCAGUGGAAACUGAAAUGCUCGAGUGCGGUAGGGGCAGAGGGAAUUCCUGGUGUAGCGGUGAAAUGCGUAGAGAUCAGGAAGAACACCGGUGGCGAAAGCGCUCUGCUAGGCCGCAACUGACACUCAGGGACGAAAGCUAGGGGAGCGAAUGGGAUUAGAUACCCCUAG
Molecule: ribosomal RNA, 377 nt
Filed under: Gloeocapsopsis diffluens PJ S16
Lineage: Bacteria; Bacillati; Cyanobacteriota; Cyanophyceae; Chroococcidiopsidales; Chroococcidiopsidaceae
Description: bacterial SSU rRNA
Rfam family: Bacterial small subunit ribosomal RNA
Source: RNAcentral